Molecule: small nuclear RNA, 105 nt
Filed under: Microcebus murinus (gray mouse lemur)
Lineage: Eukaryota; Metazoa; Chordata; Mammalia; Primates; Cheirogaleidae
Source: RNAcentral
GGGCUGGUAGUGGUAGCACAUAUACUAAAAUCAGAAGAGUACAGGAAAGAUUAGCUUGGCCCCUGAACAGGAUGACACAUAACUUCAUAAGCAUUUCAUAUGAAA